This 673-nucleotide ribosomal RNA is filed under the name uncultured Vibrionaceae bacterium. RNAcentral's name for it is "bacterial SSU rRNA". It matches the Rfam family "Bacterial small subunit ribosomal RNA", at positions 1 to 671 of the family's 1533-position model. Lineage: Bacteria; Pseudomonadati; Pseudomonadota; Gammaproteobacteria; Vibrionales; Vibrionaceae. The record is from RNAcentral.
UAGAGUUUGAUCAUGGCUCAGAUUGAACGCUGGCGGCAGGCUUAACACAUGCAAGUCGAGCGGUAACAGGAAUAGCUCGCUAUUUGCUGACGAGCGGCGGACGGGUGAGUAAUGCUUGGGAAUAUGCCUUAUGGUGGGGGACAACAGUUGGAAACGACUGCUAAUACCGCAUAAUGUCUACGGACCAAAGGGGGGGAUCUUCGGACCUCUCGCCAUUUGAUUAGCCCAAGUGAGAUUAGCUAGUUGGUAAGGUAAUGGCUUACCAAGGCGACGAUCUCUAGCUGGUUUGAGAGGAUGAUCAGCCACACUGGGACUGAGACACGGCCCAGACUCCUACGGGAGGCAGCAGUGGGGAAUAUUGCACAAUGGGGGAAACCCUGAUGCAGCCAUGCCGCGUGUGUGAAGAAGGCCUUCGGGUUGUAAAGCACUUUCAGUUGUGAGGAAAGGUGUGUAGUUAAUAGCUGCAUACUGUGACGUUGACAACAGAAGAAGCACCGGCUAACUUCGUGCCAGCAGCCGCGGUAAUACGAGGGGUGCAAGCGUUAAUCGGAAUUACUGGGCGUAAAGCGUUCGUAGGCGGUUGAAUAAGCAAGAUGUGAAAGCCCAGGGCUCAACCUUGGAACUGCAUUUUGAACUGUUCGACUAGAGUACUGUAGAGGGGGGUAGAAUUUCA